This 598-nucleotide ribosomal RNA is filed under the name uncultured bacterium. RNAcentral's name for it is "bacterial SSU rRNA". It matches the Rfam family "Bacterial small subunit ribosomal RNA", at positions 338 to 955 of the family's 1533-position model. The record is from RNAcentral.
CCUACGGGAGGCAUCAGUGGGGAAUAUUGGACAAUGGGCGAAAGCCUGAUCCAGCAAUGCCGCGUGAGUGAUGAAGGCCUUAGGGUUGUAAAGCUCUUUUACCAGGGAUGAUAAUGACAGUACCUGGAGAAUAAGCUCCGGCUAACUCCGUGCCAGCAGCCGCGGUAAUACGGAGGGAGCUAGCGUUGUUCGGAAUUACUGGGCGUAAAGCGUACGUAGGCGGUUAUUCAAGUCAGAGGUGAAAGCCUGGAGCUCAACUCCAGAACUGCCUUUGAAACUAGAUAACUAGAAUCACGGAGAGGUGAGUGGAAUUCCGAGUGUAGAGGUGAAAUUCGUAGAUAUUCGGAAGAACACCAGUGGCGAAGGCGGCUCACUGGACGUGUAUUGACGCUGAGGUACGAAAGCGUGGGGAGCAAACAGGAUUAGAUACCCUGGUAGUCCACGCCGUAAACGAUGAUAACUAGCUGCCAGGGCUCUUAGAGCUUUGGUGGCGCAGCUAACGCAUUAAGUUAUCCGCCUGGGGAGUACGGUCGCAAGAUUAAAACUCAAAAGAGUAAGUAGACGNGAGAGAGCGACGACGACGACGACGGAGGAGGAG